RNAcentral lists this ribosomal RNA (424 nucleotides) under uncultured prokaryote. Its description in RNAcentral is "bacterial SSU rRNA". It matches the Rfam family "Bacterial small subunit ribosomal RNA", at positions 355 to 796 of the family's 1533-position model. The record is from RNAcentral.
UGGGGAAUUUUCCCCAAUGGGCGCAAGCCUGAGGGAGCAACGCCGCGUGCAGGACGACGGCCUUCGGGUUGUAAACUGCUUUUGCGUGGGACGAUAACGACGGUACCACGCGAAUCAGCCCCGGCUAACUCUGUGCCAGCAGCCGCGGUAAUACAGAGGGGGCAAGCGUUGUCCGGACUUACUGGGCGUAAAGCGCACGCAGGUGGUAACGCAAGUGGGGUGUGAAAGCCGCCAGCUCAACUGGCGGAGGCCAUCCCAAACUGCGUCACUUGAGGCCUGUAGAGGUAUGUGGAAUUGCCGGUGUAGUGGUGAAAUGCGUAGAGAUCGGCAGGAACACCCAGGGGGAAGCCAGCAUACUGGACAGGUCCUGACACUCAGGUGCGACAGCGUGGGGAGCGAACCGGAUUAGAUACCCGUGUAGUCC